UCGCCUGUUUAUCAAAAACAUUUCUUUUUGGAGUAUAUAAAAAGUAAGACCUGCCCUAUGACAAUUAAAUGGCCGCAGUAAUAUGACUGUGCUAAGGUAGCAUAAUAAUUUGUCCUUUAAAUGAGGACUGGAAUGAAUGGUUCUAUGGAAAUAAAUUAAUGAUUUUAUUAUAAUAUGAAUUUAAUGUUUAAGUUAAAAUUCUUAAAUAAACCUAAAAGACGAGAAGACCCUGUGGAUCUUUACUACUUAGCACUUAUGGUUGUUAAAAAAUUAAGCUUAAAGGUAGUUUGAUUGGGACGAUUCUUCAUUUAACUGAAGUUAAUAAAAUUAUUUUUGAUCCUACUUAAGGAAAUAAGAUUAAGUUACCCCAGGGAUAACAGCGUUAUAUUACCGGAUAGUUCAUAUUGAUGGUAAUGUUUGCGACCUCGAUGUUGAAUUAAAAUUUCUUUGUGAAGCAGAAGUCACGAGAAGUUAGUCUGUUCGACUAUAAAAAUUUUACAUGAUCUGAGUUCAA
RNAcentral lists this ribosomal RNA (514 nucleotides) under Cyprididae sp. LACM RW17.101.3490. RNAcentral describes it as "partial large subunit ribosomal RNA". It matches the Rfam family "Bacterial large subunit ribosomal RNA", at positions 1796 to 2614 of the family's 2925-position model. Lineage: Eukaryota; Metazoa; Arthropoda; Ostracoda; Podocopida; Cyprididae. The record is from RNAcentral.